This 254-nucleotide ribosomal RNA is filed under the name uncultured bacterium. Its description in RNAcentral is "partial 16S ribosomal RNA". It matches the Rfam family "Bacterial small subunit ribosomal RNA", at positions 524 to 776 of the family's 1533-position model. The record is from RNAcentral.
UACGAAGGGUGCAAGCGUUACUCGGAAUUACUGGGCGUAAAGCGUGCGUAGGUGGUUCGUUAAGUCUGUCGUGAAAGCCCCGGGCUCAACCUGGGAAUGGCGAUGGAUACUGGCGGGCUAGAGUGCGGUAGAGGAGAGUGGAAUUCCCCGGUGUAGCAGUGAAAUGCGUAGAGAUCGGGAGGAACAUCAGUUGCGAAGGCGGCUCUCUGGACCAGCACUGACACUGAGGCACGAAAGCGUGGGGAGCAAACAGG